CAGGUGGGCCACACUGUAUAGAAGCUGCGGGUUCCAAAGUGUUCUCUUUUGACUGUGGAGGUGAGUAAUGGAAGCUAGAAAGGAGAGGGAAGGUGGUGCCAGAGAAGCGGAAAACCAGCUCUUCAAGUGGUCGGGAUAAUUAUUGGGCUUAAAGUGUCCGUAGCCGGUUUAGUAAGUUCCUGGUAAAAUCGGAUAGCUUAACUAUCCGCAUGCUAGGAAUACUGCUAUACUAGAGGGCGGGAGAGGUCUGAGGUACUAUAGGGGUAGGGGUGAAAUCUUAUAAUCCUUGUAGGACCACCAGUGGCGAAGGCGUCAGACUGGAACGCGCCUGACGGUGAGGGACGAAAGCCAGGGGAGCGAACCGGAUUAGAUACCCGGGUAGCCUUGGCCGUAAACGAUGCAUACUAGGUGAUGGUACGGCCGUGAGCGGGAUCAGUGCCGUAGGGAAACCGUCAAGUGUGCCGCCUGGGAAGUACGGUCGCAAGGCUAAAACUUAAAGGAAUUGGCGGGGGAGCCCCACAGGGGGUGAAGCCUGCGGUUCAUUUGGACUCAACGCCGGGAAACUUACCAGGGGAGACAGUAGAAUGACGGUCAGGUUGACGACCUUACCUAACGAGCUGAGAGGAGGUGCAUGGCCGUCGCCAGUUCUUGCUGUGAGGUAUCCUGUUAAGUCAGGCAACGAACGAGAUCCCGCGCCUUUUUUUGCCAGCAAAGAAGUUACGACUUUCGUUGGGAAACACUAAAAGGGACCCCCGUCGAUAAAACGGGAGGAAAGAACCGGGCAAAAGGAACGUCAUUUAUGCCCCGAAAACUUUUGGGGCUACACGCGGGGCUGCAAAUGUUAUGAAACAAAUGGGCUUGUAACUCCGAAAGGGAGAAACCAAUCCCCAAAUUCUAUAUCCUCAGUUGGGGAUUGUUCGGGUUGUAAACCUGUCUAACAUGAAACCGUGGAAUUCCCGUAGGUAAUUCGCUGUUGUCAUUCAUUGAGCACCGGUGAAUACCGCUCGUCUGCUCUCUGGCACAGACAACGAAGGGCGGAAUUUCCGAUAUAAACCUGCAGGAGACCUAGUCCGUUAUAGUGACAGCUAAGUCUGCGACGUUGCGCCCG
RNAcentral lists this ribosomal RNA (1108 nucleotides) under uncultured archaeon. RNAcentral's name for it is "bacterial SSU rRNA". It matches the Rfam family "Archaeal small subunit ribosomal RNA", at positions 354 to 1478 of the family's 1478-position model. The record is from RNAcentral.